Molecule: ribosomal RNA, 253 nt
Filed under: uncultured bacterium
Lineage: Bacteria
Description: partial 16S ribosomal RNA
Rfam family: Bacterial small subunit ribosomal RNA
Source: RNAcentral
UACGUAGGGACCAAGCGUUGUCCGGAAUCAUUGGGCGUAAAGAGCGUGUAGGCGGCCUGUUAAGUCUUGCGUGAAAUCUCGGGGCUCAACCCCGAGCGGUCGUGAGAAACUGGCAGGCUAGAGUGCGGGAGAGGAGAGUGGGAUUCCUGGUGUAGCGGUGAAAUGCGCAGAUAUCAGGAAGAACACCCGUGGCGAAGGCGGCUCUCUGGAACGCAACUGACGCUGAGACGCGAAAGCGUGGGGAGCAAACAGG